Molecule: long non-coding RNA, 2025 nt
Organism: Esox lucius (northern pike)
Lineage: Eukaryota; Metazoa; Chordata; Actinopteri; Esociformes; Esocidae
Source: Ensembl
GAAGGUUAAAAACAUGUUUUAUUAAAUCACAAAUAAGCAACAAAUCGUGUUCACCGAACCAUAAAAAAAUAAAAAAUAAAAACGUUCACAUACUUAAGGUUGAAACAUCUUCAGACUGGUAUUUGGUAUGUAGACCCUCAAUCCUCAUUCUGAAGCUGCGAGAGAGCAAAAUGUGCCAUCGAUCUGACAGUGAGAUUGCAGAUCUAGGAUCAGUUUGAACUUUAAGAUCACAGAUCCUGAGAUGCAUUGCCCCUGAACAGAAAACAGUGCCGUAAAAUGACCAGAUGCUGGAGGAAGAUAAAAGACAACAUUCCUAAUUACGAUUAUUUUAAUAAGACAAAUGAAAGUAACAUAAAUAGGUAAAAAUGUGCACCUCCCUAUCAACUGGUAAUAAAACAACACAAAAAACAAACAAAAAAAAAUAGGAUUUGAGCGGGCACAAACAUUUCAGUUAGAGACAAAUCCAAAGUUCACCCGGAAUCCACAUUUCCUCACUCCUAUUAAGCAAGGAACAAUCAGAAUAUGGAUUCUGGUUCGCAUUCUCAAUUGUCUGGAACUGAAAUGCAACUGGAACUCAGCUUUUGGGAGAAUGUAUACGCCCUAAUCUCCCAACCCUGUUCAUUAGGUCAGGGAUGACGAAGAAGAUGACGAAGAAGAUGACAAGAAGAAGCUUCAGACAACACCUCCUCUCGGCUUGGGCUCAGUUCUGCCACGACCCGGUUUCCCGAAAGGUUCGGUUAAAGCUAUGAACGGAACCUCUUCGACGCUUUUAGGAAAGAGGCUCCAGCGGUCUUCUGUUCAGUCCAGCUGGGCUUCAGAACAGCUGCCCUCUGUAGGGGGGGGGGGGGGGGGCGGGGUCAGGGAGAGGGAGGCGGGGUGAGUGUAGCCCCCCCCCCUCCACAGUGGAGGGAGGUAAGGGGUUCCCUUCAGGCCAGACCUUCCCAGGCGUCAUUCCGCUGUUUAGCCGCCAGGCGCUUUUUCUCUAGGAGAGGAUGGAGACGGCAUGUUGACGCCAACGCACUGACCAACACAAUUUAACAAAGCCAACAGGAACUCAUAGGUUCUUAUUUCAGUCAUUUGGCAGACACUCUUAUCCAGAGCGACAUACAUUCAUCUUAAAAAUCACACAAUUCAGUGAUACUGAAUGGAUUAGCUGUUCUACUGAUCACCAAUCCCACCAGUAAUUCAUAUUAAUACCAAUACUUGUCAUUCCAAUGCCUUAUUCUGGUUACUGAAAACAUUUGGAAUGUAUGUGUACAUCCUGAUUGACUGGAAUUUAAAUGAAUGGACCCCUUCCCUGGCUAUAAGCUUACAAUCAACAAAUACUAUACCAUAAAUACCCCAUUAAAGACUUCCAUUCACAUUCUUUUCUACUUUGUCUUAUUUAACUGUCUCAGUACAGAUUACAUAAUUAUAAAUAAUAAUCCAAAACAUAAGGACUUAAAGGAGGGUUGAUUUCCUAACCUUUACGGUAAUGUUGUCAACUUUAGUGAACGAGAAUUAGUAACACAAAAAGUGGACCACCCAACAACGGACUGGCGGGUGGAGGUAAAACAGCUACGGGGGUUGGCUCUUUAGGGCUGCUGAAUGAAGCCACACGUGAUCUUUGGUGAACACAAUCAUCCUUAGACUGACUGUCAUCACAGAACCUUGUGAAGGUUCCCACAGUCAGAUCGAUCUAAAGGAGAACAUCCUGAAGGUUCCAGGGACAGCAGUGAAGAGGUCAUUAUGCCGGGAACAGAGGCUUUUUUUUCUCUCCACUUUCUCAACUUCCUGCUUCGGCCCUCAUCUUGUUUCUCCUUCUCUCUCCCUUAUGGCCAGAUAGUGGACUGGACCAUUUGUCUUUCUCCUUCCCUUUCCCUCCUCCUCCCUCCCUCCAGGCCAGAUAGUGGACUGCUCCCUAUGGCUUUUUUAAUGUAUAUACUUAUAUCCACUAGGAGGGACAUGUAAGUAUAUAAAACCGGGAAAUGAUAGAGUAGAGGUUCUGCCCGGCAACACAGGGUGGUGAGGGAGGACUACGGAGAC